GGGAGGACUUCUGGCCGGCUUGCCGAGUACCUCUUGACUAGGCUCGGCCUGGAAUGCCCCGGUCUCAUGUCCAUCACCUUAAUCUCUGACGCUGUUCUCUAAAGCCAUGUUAUCAGGGCGCAGGCGGCGUGCCAGACCAGGCGGCCGAUAAGCCGGGGAAACUCUUUACAAGCAAAGCCCACCCACCCCACCCCCUACCUCAGUCGGCUACCUGCCUUCACGGAUCUUCACAGGUGAGACUGCAGGGACAAAGGCGAGGAGGGAAGUCUCGGCACGAAGUGUAUGGCCUUCUGGACAACGAUUGAUACUUCACAGCUUUCCUGGACAAAGUGAUAAUAAUAUAAAUAGAGUCGAUCUAGCAAAAUGUAACCAACCCCCCCAAAAAAAUUUUUUUUUUCUCUCAUCUGUGUCGUCUCUGCAUGCAGUUCAAGUCUAGACAUCACUACGAGGAUCAGCGUGUUAUACAGAUAUCUACACGCGGACACAUGUGAACAGGCAAACGAACCUGGGACACCUGUGUGAACAGGUAAACAGACUUGAAGCCAGGAUUUAUAAGUGACUCAUAGUACGGCUUCAUCUCCUCAGCCCUCACCUGGAUGAGCAUGGCCUAGCAAUCAUUGUGUGUGUGAAAGGACAAUGAAUUUUCUUGUUCUUCUUCAAACAUAAAACCUCUCAUCAGAACGGAAUCUUACUAAAUCAGAUGCGGAAAGAACAGAACGAGUACAUGCGAACAUAUUGUAUCAAUGUAAUAAACACACACAACCAAAAUGGCCGAACGUAGAGCGAAAAGGUGUUGUGGUUGGCAGUGUCCAUUCAUAUCGACGAGUAGGUUUAAAGGAAGACACCUGCUCUACAAAAUCGGCUUUGUUGGUCUCCUGCUAUCUGCACUAGGGCUUGUGUUCGGUGUGACGUGCCCAGGCUGGAUUGUGCACACGUCACACGACAGCACCCGCUAUGGCGGCCUCUUCCUCUCCUGUCGGACAGCGUGAUACGCUGUGAAGUCAUUUCACCUGAGCGAUAUCCAGAGAGGCUGCGCACUACUCAGUGCUUAGCCGUGCUGGGUCUCCUGUCGCUAUUACUGGCCUCUGGGAUAGGCAUCUUCGACAACUUCCUGUCAAAGAAUGGAAAUCCUUCUAGACUACCAGAACUCUUGACAAUUAGCGGAGCUGUCAUGACAUUUUGCGGAGUGAUGGUGUACGUGGGUGAAUACGACAGCAUCGUCCAAGUCCCAGGCGUCUCCUAUGGCUACUCCAUGAUUGUCUCCCUGUUGGCCUCCUUGCUGGCAGGCGGCGCCAGCCUUUCCGUCUUUCUGGGAGGUUUCCUCUCUUCGAAGCCGUCCCAUGCGAGAAGUACAGCCAGCAUUUCGCCCAUCGUGGAUCCGUUCGAGGCAACGACACCAGUAACCAGGCAGAGACCUCCCACCGCCACUGGCUUGGCUCGUCCCACAACCUCCCGGACACGUCCAGCCCCGCUGUCGGAGAGUUCAGUCAGUCUCUGGCUACGAUGACCUUGUUUCCUCGCCAUUCUUCCAAUUUUCGGAAAA
Molecule: long non-coding RNA, 1543 nt
Organism: Pomacea canaliculata
Lineage: Eukaryota; Metazoa; Mollusca; Gastropoda; Architaenioglossa; Ampullariidae
Exons: 4
Source: RefSeq, a predicted model, not a curated record